GACGAACGCUGGCGGCGUGCUUAACACAUGCAAGUCGUACGGUAAGGCCCUUUCGGGGGUACACGAGUGGCGAACGGGUGAGUAACACGUGAGUAACCUGCCCACAACUUUGGGAUAACGCUAGGAAACUGGUGCUAAUACUGGAUAUGUGCUCCUGCUGCAUGGUGGGGGUUGGAAAGCUCCGGCGGUUGUGGAUGGACUCGCGGCCUAUCAGCUUGUUGGUGGGGUAGUGGCCUACCAAGGCGGCGACGGGUAGCCGGCCUGAGAGGGUGACCGGCCACAUUGGGACUGAGAUACGGCCCAGACUCCUACGGGAGGCAGCAGUGGGGAAUAUUGCACAAUGGGCGCAAGCCUGAUGCAGCAACGCCGCGUGCGGGAUGACGGCCUUCGGGUUGUAAACCGCUUUCAGCAGGGACGAAGCUUUUUGUGGCGGUACCUGCAGAAGAAGCACCGGCUAACUACGU
RNAcentral lists this ribosomal RNA (464 nucleotides) under uncultured bacterium. RNAcentral's name for it is "partial 16S ribosomal RNA". It matches the Rfam family "Bacterial small subunit ribosomal RNA", at positions 28 to 506 of the family's 1533-position model. The record is from RNAcentral.